GCGGAAGUAGCUCAGCUGGUAGAGCAUCAGCCUUCCAAGCUGAGGGUCGCGGGUUCGAAUCUCGUCUUCCGCUCUA
Molecule: transfer RNA, 76 nt
Filed under: Neolewinella litorea
Lineage: Bacteria; Pseudomonadati; Bacteroidota; Saprospiria; Saprospirales; Lewinellaceae
Description: Lewinella litorea tRNA-Gly
Rfam family: tRNA
About the family: Transfer RNA (tRNA) molecules are approximately 80 nucleotides in length. Their secondary structure includes four short double-helical elements and three loops (D, anti-codon, and T loops).
Source: RNAcentral